UGUCAUGAUCGUGUGCAGGAUUGGACAAAACAAGAUGGCAGACGGCAUUUCCAAACAAAGAUCCAGUCAGGAGCGGACUUCCUUAAGCUUAAAAGUUGCAAGUGAAUGAAGUGUGUUCUAUUUUAUGUCUCCUACUAAAACCAUGGUUUUGACAAACCUAAAAGAGCACUUGGUGCAAGGAACUAUCAAUAAGCCGGAAGAGACAGCUCGAAAAUCUUUAAGUGUUUGAGAAUUUCACCGCGCACAUGAAUCUAAAGUUCUGCCACACGUUAGAAGGAGCCUUGUUCUCGAAGAUCAACAUGCUGGAAAGUCUUCAUUUUGCAGAAGCAAAUACAUUUAUAUUGUACAAGGUGAAGAUAACGAACAGUCAUCAAUCUCAUAACUCCUACAAGCAAUACAAAAUAGAUAGUUGGGCAAACACGGACCCCUGGACACACCAGAGGUGGAAUCAGGCGCCUAGGAGGAGUAAGCAUACAUGUAGACCAUGUUCGAUUCCCAACCACUUAACAUUUGUGAUAUCUGCAUGGAAUUAUUAAAACUGAGCAUGGUUUGACGUACAUGUAUAAUAAUCUCUUCAGGCAUGAUGGUUUACAUUUCACAAAGCUGUUCAAUGACAAUAAAGACAAUAAUAUAAGAUGUUGAGGUGUUCAUGUUUUCAAUACUUAAUGAUCUGUCCACAUGCAUUUGUGCCUUUCAUAUGUAUGCUUCUGCUGGAACCAGUUUUGAUUGUUAAAGCGGGAUUUAUUAUCUUUUGAAAAAUUUCCCUAUCAUUUUAAUUCUAAUAAUCUUGAGUGCAUAUGUCGGUUUGUUGGAAUGUAGCAAAUAUCAGCAUUUUUGUAUUUCAAAA
Long non-coding RNA from Ostrea edulis (European flat oyster), 847 nucleotides. RefSeq lists it as uncharacterized. The transcript has 2 exons. NCBI's taxonomy places the organism in Eukaryota, Metazoa, Mollusca, Bivalvia, Ostreida, Ostreidae. The record is from RefSeq and is a predicted model, not a curated record.